This 434-nucleotide ribosomal RNA is filed under the name uncultured Lachnospiraceae bacterium. RNAcentral's name for it is "bacterial SSU rRNA". It matches the Rfam family "Bacterial small subunit ribosomal RNA", at positions 341 to 792 of the family's 1533-position model. The record is from RNAcentral. Lineage: Bacteria; Bacillati; Bacillota; Clostridia; Lachnospirales; Lachnospiraceae.
ACGGAAGGCAGCAGUGGGGAAUAUUGCACAAUGGGGGGAACCCUGAUGCAGCGACGCCGCGUGAAGGAAGAAGUAUCUCGGUAUGUAAACUUCUAUCAGCAGGGAAGAUAAUGACGGUACCUGACUAAGAAGUCCCGGCUAACUACGUGCCAGCAGCCGCGGUAAUACGUAGGGGACAAGCGUUAUCCGGAUUUACUGGGUGUAAAGGGUGCGUAGGCGGCUAAGCAAGUCAGAAGUGAAAGCCCGCGGCUCAACUGCGGGACUGCUUUUGAAACUGUUUGGCUAGAGUACUGGAGGGGCAAGCGGAAUUCCUGGUGUAGCGGUGAAAUGCGUAGAUAUCAGGAAGAACACCGGAGGCGAAGGCGGCUUGCUGGACAGAGACUGACGCUGAGGCACGAAGGCGUGGGGAGCAAACAGGAUUAGAUACCCUGGUA